Non-coding RNA from Cricetulus griseus (Chinese hamster), 489 nucleotides. The record is from RefSeq and is a predicted model, not a curated record. Lineage: Eukaryota; Metazoa; Chordata; Mammalia; Rodentia; Cricetidae.
GAAGACCCAGGUUCAAUUCCCAGCACCCACAAGACCGCCCACAACUGAUUCUGUGGAGCACAGAGCCACCUGAAACAGAGAUUUUAUGACGCUGCAACCACUAGGAGCCCAGACUCUGCCUUGAAAGGGUGUAACUACCAGGACCCUCGAGCCUUUCACCCAUUUAUUUAUUCUUUAGGCUUCUGAGCUGGUGACCAUUGUGAAACCCCAAGUAGGUGGAGGCAGCCUUGUCAACCAGUCAGUCAGCUUGGAAGAGCAACCCCUUCAGGUGUGGAUGCCUGCCACAGUGAACACAUGGAAGUCAGCAAGCAACUGUGGGAGUCACUUCUUUUCUACCAUGUAGGAUUCAGGAUUCAGUCAGAUUCCAGCUUGGUGGCAAGAGCUUUCAUCCACUGAGAAAUCUUCCCAGGCCCUUAGGGUUUUUUUUUUUAAGAUUUUAUUUAUUUAUUAUGUAUACAACAUUCUGCUUCCAUGUAUAUCUGCACACCA